GAGAGUUUGAUCCUGGCUCAGGAUGAACGCUAGCUACAGGCUUAACACAUGCAAGUCGAGGGGCAGCAUGGUCUUAGCUUGCUAAGGCCGAUGGCGACCGGCGCACGGGUGAGUAACACGUAUCCAACCUGCCGUCUACUCUUGGACAGCCUUCUGAAAGGAAGAUUAAUACAAGAUGGCAUCAUGAGUCCGCAUGUUCACAUGAUUAAAGGUAUUCCGGUAGACGAUGGGGAUGCGUUCCAUUAGAUAGUAGGCGGGGUAACGGCCCACCUAGUCUUCGAUGGAUAGGGGUUCUGAGAGGAAGGCCCCCCACAUUGGAACUGAGACACGGUCCAAACUCCUACGGGAGGCAGCAGUGAGGAAUAUUGGUCAAUGGGCGAGAGCCUGAACCAGCCAAGUAGCGUGAAGGAUGACUGCCCUAUGGGUUGUAAACUUCUUUUAUAAAGGAAUAAAGUCGGGUAUGGAUACCCGUUUGCAUGUACUUUAUGAAUAAGGAUCGGCUAACUCCGUGCCAGCAGCCGCGGUAAUACGGAGGAUCCGAGCGUUAUCCGGAUUUAUUGGGUUUAAAGGGAGCGUAGAUGGAUGUUUAAGUCAGUUGUGAAAGUUUGCGGCUCAACCGUAAAAUUGCAGUUGAUACUGGAUAUCUUGAGUGCAGUUGAGGCAGGCGGAAUUCGUGGUGUAGCGGUGAAAUGCUUAGAUAUCACGAAGAACUCCGAUUGCGAAGGCAGCCUGCUAAGCUGCAACUGACAUUGAGGCUCGAAAGUGUGGGUAUCAAACAGGAUUAGAUACCCUGGUAGUCCACACGGUAAACGAUGAAUACUCGCUGUUUGCGAUAUACUGCAAGCGGCCAAGCGAAAGCGUUAAGUAUUCCACCUGGGGAGUACGCCGGCAACGGUGAAACUCAAAGGAAUUGACGGGGGCCCGCACAAGCGGAGGAACAUGUGGUUUAAUUCGAUGAUACGCGAGGAACCUUACCCGGGCUUAAAUUGCAGAUGAAUUACGGUGAAAGCCGUAAGCCGCAAGGCAUCUGUGAAGGUGCUGCAUGGUUGUCGUCAGCUCGUGCCGUGAGGUGUCGGCUUAAGUGCCAUAACGAGCGCAACCCUUGUUGUCAGUUACUAACAGGUUCUGCUGAGGACUCUGACAAGACUGCCAUCGUAAGAUGUGAGGAAGGUGGGGAUGACGUCAAAUCAGCACGGCCCUUACGUCCGGGGCUACACACGUGUUACAAUGGGGGGUACAGAGGGCCGCUACCACGCGAGUGGAUGCCAAUCCCAAAAACCUCUCUCAGUUCGGACUGGAGUCUGCAACCCGACUCCACGAAGCUGGAUUCGCUAGUAAUCGCGCAUCAGCCACGGCGCGGUGAAUACGUUCCCGGGCCUUGUACACACCGCCCGUCAAGCCAUGGGAGCCGGGGGUACCUGAAGUGCGUAACCGCGAGGAGCGCCCUAGGGUAAAACUGGUGACUGGGGCUAAGUCGUAACAAGGUAGCCG
RNAcentral lists this ribosomal RNA (1491 nucleotides) under uncultured bacterium. RNAcentral's name for it is "bacterial SSU rRNA". It matches the Rfam family "Bacterial small subunit ribosomal RNA". The record is from RNAcentral.